CGGUUCUGGGCUGCAUGGAUUCGAAGAGGGCUGAGUUUUGUCGUGGCUGUGCUGUCCGCGGCCGUGCUCCACGGUUGCGACGUCUGCGGCCAAGCUGCCCGCUGCUGAGCUCCGCGGCCGAGCUGCCAGCGGCCGCGCUCUGCGGCCGUGCUCUGCGGUCGUGCUCUGCGGCCGUGCUUCCCAUGGCUGGGCCCUCCGUGGUCCCGUGAUCGUGGCCGCGGCGAGGGUGCCGCGACCUGCGCGGUGCCGUGCGCUGCAGUGAUGGCGCCGCGCACUGUGCAGUGAUUGUGCCGUGCGCUGCGUACGCGGUGGGUGCCGCGCGCCGCGCUGUUGAGCGUGCCGUAUUCGGACGGUGGCUGCCGCGCGCAGCGUGGUGAUUGCUGCGCUCUGCCAUGAGUGCCGCUCACUGCCGUGGCCUGAGUGCCGCGCUCGGACGGAGUGCCACGCGCCGUUGUGUUGCGUCGCCUUCUGCCUUUCGAUAUGUGCUAUCUCCGAAUUUAAUGUUGCUUGUUGCCGAUGUUCGCUUCUUUUCGUUAAGAGGGUCGGGUAUAGUCGGUCGAUUUAUUCGCACCGUUUGAUUUCGUACCGGCUUCUCUUCUGUUUCUUAUUGUUUUCUGCGAUGUCACUUGUCCGAUUUUAUAUCUGAUUAAUUCACGUCACUUAAGUAUUUAUUUUAUAUUGUCAUAAUAACUUACGGCGCUGUUCCUUUAUUUUCUGUUUAGUUGCAGCCCUAGUACCUUAAUUUCCGAUGUCUCUUCGGUUUGUUGUCGCUCGCAUGUUCAGAGAGUCCUGGUUGGCCGGCGCGAGCGGCGGUUGUGGAAUACAAGCUCGUCUGUGAA
Molecule: long non-coding RNA, 839 nt
Organism: Amphibalanus amphitrite
Lineage: Eukaryota; Metazoa; Arthropoda; Thecostraca; Balanomorpha; Balanidae
Exons: 2
Source: RefSeq, a predicted model, not a curated record